Molecule: long non-coding RNA, 875 nt
Organism: Planococcus citri (citrus mealybug)
Lineage: Eukaryota; Metazoa; Arthropoda; Insecta; Hemiptera; Pseudococcidae
Exons: 2
Source: RefSeq, a predicted model, not a curated record
UCAAGCUGACGUAAGUUCUGUUAGUCAGAAAAUUGUAUCUAUAAAAUAAUGCAAAAGUGUCGCCAUUUCAUCAUAAUCUCAAUUCAAUCGCCUAACGCUCGUUCCAAAUUGUAAUACCUAUUUUGAUAAAUUUCAAUAUGAAUAGUCGCGUUAUUUCAAUAAUUUCACUGCUUUUGGCGAUUAUGUCACUCGUGCAUGGCAGAGGCACAAUAAAAAUCAAGUCAACAGAUUUCGUUAGAAUAGGCGGAAGCGCCAUUUGUGGCUGGACCGAUGAGCAGAAAGUCGAAGCUUGUGAGCUAAUACCAGGACUUUCCAACCCAGGACACAGCUGCCCAAACAAGAAAAUUGAAUUCACCGAUGGGACGAAACAGUAUAAUAUCUUGUUAUGUGAAGAUGACGGCGGCACUCCCUACGGAUGCGUUUAUAGCAAUAAUGGCAAUGCUGUAGUCACUGAUUACGCCGCCACAAUAGAUACUUGUGUGUGAUAGGACCCGAUAAGUAGUAAUUUUUUCCCUCAAACCAACUCCGAAUUUGAUUUUUUUUCCUACAACAGGUUUCAAAAUUCACCUCAUUGUAUCUAAUCUACCUCCCAUAUUGAAAAAUGUUCUUACUCGUAUUUCGCAUUUUGUGAAAAAAAAUCCCCUUUUUUGUGAGAAUAAAAUUUAUUUUUCUAGUUUAUUUAUGUAUAUAUUUUUUUUUUUUGUAACAGCUAUAGUAGUUUUUAAGUUAGUAGAUGUGUUUGUGUUAUGAUAUGACAGAUCUUCAUUUAUUUUUUCUAUGUUUGUUUUUACUGAUUGUGACAUUUGUCCAUUCAGGCUAGUUUUCUGUUUGUUUUUGGUUAUUUUUUUGUCAGAAUAUAUAAAUUUUCUCCCAGA